Molecule: ribosomal RNA, 483 nt
Filed under: uncultured bacterium
Lineage: Bacteria
Description: bacterial SSU rRNA
Rfam family: Bacterial small subunit ribosomal RNA
Source: RNAcentral
GACGAACGCUGGCGGCGUGCCUAACACAUGCAAGUCGAGCGGAGUCGAUCGACAGAAGCCUUCGGGCGGAAGAUGGUUGACUUAGCGGCGGAUGGGUGAGUAACGCGUGGGCAACCUGCCUCGAAGACCGGGAUAACAGCCCGAAAGGGCUGCUAAUACCGGAUGUGGUCAAGGAUCCGCAUGGAUUUUUGAUUAAAGGGGAAACCCGUUUCGAGAUGGGCCCGCGUCCUAUCAGCUAGUUGGUGAGGUAAAAGCUCACCAAGGCGACGACGGGUAGCCGGCCUGAGAGGGUGACCGGCCACACUGGAACUGAGACACGGUCCAGACUCCUACGGGGGGCAGCAGUGGGGAAUCUUCCACAAUGGGCGAAAGCCUGAUGGAGCGACGCCGCGUGAGCGAAGAAGGCCUUCGGGUUGUAAAGCUCUGUCUGGAGGGACGAAGGAAGUGACGGUACCUCCGGAGGAAGCCACGGCUAACUACGUG